AGUGAACGCUGGCGGUAGGCCUAACACAUGCAGGUCGAACGGCAGCACAGUAAGAGCUUGCUCUUACGGGUGGCGAGUGGCGGACGGGUGAGGAAUACAUCGGAAUCUACUUUUUCGUGGGGGAUAACGUAGGGAAACUUACGCUAAUACCGCAUACGACCUACGGGUGAAAGCAGGGGAUCUUCGGACCUUGCGCGAUUGAAUGAGCCGAUGUCGGAUUAGCUAGUUGGCGGGGUAAAGGCCCACCAAGGCGACGAUCCGUAGCUGGUCUGAGAGGAUGAUCAGCCACACUGGAACUGAGACACGGUCCAGACUCCUACGGGAGGCAGCAGUGGGGAAUAUUGGACAAUGGGCGCAAGCCUGAUCCAGCCAUACCGCGUGGGUGAAGAAGGCCUUCGGGUUGUAAAGCCCUUUUGUUGGGAAAGAAAAGCAGCAGGUUAAUACCCCGCUGUUCUGACGGUACCCAAAGAAUAAGCACCGGCUACUUCGUG
Molecule: ribosomal RNA, 491 nt
Filed under: uncultured bacterium
Lineage: Bacteria
Description: partial 16S ribosomal RNA
Rfam family: Bacterial small subunit ribosomal RNA
Source: RNAcentral